UACGAGAGGCCCAAACGUUAUUCGGAAUUACUGGGCGUAAAGCGUGCGCAGGCGGCGCGUUAAGACAGGUGUGAAAGCCCCGAGCUUAACUUGGGAAUUGCGCUUGUGACUGGCGUGCUGGAGUGUGGCAGAGGGAGGUGGAAUUCCACGUGUAGCAGUGAAAUGCGUAGAGAUGUGGAGGAACACCGAUGGCGAAGGCAGCCUCCUGGGCCAGCACUGACGCUCAUGCACGAAAGCGUGGGGAGCAAACAGG
RNAcentral lists this ribosomal RNA (253 nucleotides) under uncultured bacterium. Its description in RNAcentral is "partial 16S ribosomal RNA". It matches the Rfam family "Bacterial small subunit ribosomal RNA", at positions 524 to 776 of the family's 1533-position model. The record is from RNAcentral.